This 448-nucleotide ribosomal RNA is filed under the name uncultured bacterium. Its description in RNAcentral is "bacterial SSU rRNA". It matches the Rfam family "Bacterial small subunit ribosomal RNA", at positions 329 to 794 of the family's 1533-position model. The record is from RNAcentral.
UGCCAGACUCCUACGGGAGGCAGCAGUGGGGAAUAUUGCACAAUGGGGGAAGCCCUGAUGCAGCGACGCCGCGUGAGCGAUGAAGUAUUUCGGUAUGUAAAGCUCUCUCAGCAGGGAAGAAAAUGACGGUACCUGACUAAGAAGCCCCGGCUAACUACGUGCCAGCAGCCGCGGUAAUACGUAGGGGGCAAGCGUUAUCCGGAUUUACUGGGUGUAAAGGGAGCGUAGACGGCUGUGCAAGCCAGAUGUGAAAGCCCGGGGCUCAACCCCGGGACUGCAUUUGGAACUGUGUGGCUGGAGUGUCGGAGAGGCAGGCGGAAUUCCUAGUGUAGCGGUGAAAUGCGUAGAUAUUAGGAGGAACACCAGUGGCGAAGGCGGCCUGCUGGACGAUGACUGACGUUGAGGCUCGAAAGCGUGGGGAGCAAACAGGAUUAGAUACCCUCGUACA